ACACAUGCAAGUCGAGGGGCAGCAUGGUCUUAGCUUGCUAAGGCCGAUGGCGACCGGCGCACGGGUGAGUAACACGUAUCCAACCUGCCGUCUACUCUUGGACAGCCUUCUGAAAGGAAGAUUAAUACAAGAUGGCAUCAUGAGUCCGCAUGUUCACAUGAUUAAAGGUAUUCCGGUAGACGAUGGGGAUGCGUUCCAUUAGAUAGUAGGCGGGGUAACGGCCCACCUAGUCUUCGAUGGAUAGGGGUUCUGAGAGGAAGGUCCCCCACAUUGGAACUGAGACACGGUCCAAACUCCUACGGGAGGCAGCAGUGAGGAAUAUUGGUCAAUGGGCGAGAGCCUGAACCAGCCAAGUAGCGUGAAGGAUGACUGCCCUAUGGGUUGUAAACUUCUUUUAUAAAGGAAUAAAGUCGGGUAUGGAUACCCGUUUGCAUGUACUUUAUGAAUAAGGAUCGGCUAACUCCGUGCCAGCAGCCGCGGUAAUACGGAGGAUCCGAGCGUUAUCCGGAUUUAUUGGGUUUAAAGGGAGCGUAGAUGGAUGUUUAAGUCAGUUGUGAAAGUUUGCGGCUCAACCGUAAAAUUGCAGUUGAUACUGGAUAUCUUGAGUGCAGUUGAGGCAGGCGGAAUUCGUGGUGUAGCGGUGAAAUGCUUAGAUAUCACGAAGAACUCCGAUUGCGAAGGCAGCCUGCUAAGCUGCAACUGACAUUGAGGCUCG
RNAcentral lists this ribosomal RNA (715 nucleotides) under uncultured bacterium. RNAcentral's name for it is "bacterial SSU rRNA". It matches the Rfam family "Bacterial small subunit ribosomal RNA", at positions 51 to 755 of the family's 1533-position model. The record is from RNAcentral.